UUGCCUUUAUUUUUGUUUAUGAGUUUUUACCUUUCCUGCAUAUAGUAUUUUUUGAAAGGAAAAAGGUUUGCUCAGGGAGCUAACACCUGUUUAUUACGCCUAGUCACUGACCCAUCUUGGGGUCGUGAUAAGAAACUUAGGAAAUUUCCAGAAAAGUGCUAAUGCCUUGAACAUAAGGUAUGGCGGAUGUGCAUCUUGCAGUUAUGAUUCGUGGCUUAGCGAAAACUAUCUUGACUCAUGGGACCAACGCUCGAGUGUUUUGGCAGAAAUUGCUCUAUGAUUUGGCCUGACGAAAAUUUGCCUUGUGGCCUUGAUUCAUAGGCUUAAUGCUUGAGUAGCCUGGCAGGAAUCACCUUGUGACCUGGCCUAGCAAAGAUUUCCCUUGUGGCCUUAAUUAAUGAGAUCAACACCUGAGUGGUUUGGCGGAAACUGCCUUGUGACCUAGCCUGGUGAAGAUUUGCAUUGUGGCCUUAAUUCAUAGGAAUAACGCCCAAGUGGUCUGGCAAAAACUGCCUUAUGACUUGGCCUAGCAAAGAUUUACCUUGUGGCCUUGAUUUAUAGGACCAGUGCCUGAGUGGUCUGGCAAGAACUGCCUUGUGACCUGACCUGGCGAAGAUUUGCCUUGUGGCAUUGAUUCAUAGGACUAACGCCCGAGUGUUGUGGCAGAAACCGCCUUGUGACCUAGCUUGGCAAAGAUUUAUCUUGGAGUAGCGACUGAGUGGUCUGGCGGGAACGUCAUUGUGACUUGUCCUGGUGAAGGUUUAUCUUAUGGCCUUGACUCAUGGGACCAACGCCUGAGUGGUCUGGCGGGAAUUGCCUUGUGACCUGGCCUGUGAAGAUUUGCCUUGUGGCCUUAAUUCAUGGGACCAACACCCGAGUAGUUUGGUGGGAACUGCCUUGUGAUCGAAGAACAUACCAUAUAAAAAUACUUCAUUGACUUUAUUAUUAAAAGAAUAUCCUUCGUGUACAUACGAGGAUAAAACUACAUUGCUUGUCAAAAUGUGAACAAUAUCGAAACGGAUACUUUGGGCGGAUGACCUUUAUGGGCGAAUGUUUUCCUUAGAAUUAUAAAGUUCCUCACCUUUUUUGGUAACUAAGUUUAUAAUCUUGUCUAUACCUCAUUGGGUCCUUUUGUUAUCACAUGUAUGACUUCUACGGGUUCUCUAUCAAGAGUCGUCUUAGGGGUUAUUUCCUCAGGCUCAGACUUUUGCCUUUCUUUUCCUUUUCUCAGGAAUUUUUAAGGGUGCCAUCCCUUAUGAGCCUCUCGAUCUCGUCCUUUAAGUUUCGACAUUCUUCUAUUGUGUGGCCAUGAUCUUCAUAGAAGCAACAAUAUUUGGUCUUGUCCCAUUUGUCUGCAUUCUCAAGAUUAAGGUUGGGUGGCCACCUAAUUUCUUUAUCAUUCUUCCUGGUCCACAUCAAGAUAUGAGUUCGUGAGUCAUUUAGUGGGGUGUAAUUCUUAUACUUAUUAUGUUCAUCAUUCUUUUGCGAGAUGGAGUAACUCCUGUGAUCCCUUUCAUAGGCCCAUCUCUCGGACUUUUGACUUAGCUUUUUAUUUGUCUUCUUGUCUUCUUUUAGUAUCUAGAUCUCAUCAUCUAACCUGAUAUACUCUGGGCCAUAUCUAUUAGUUGUUGGUAUGUUGCUACUGGGUUUUUAAUUAAACAAUCCAUGAACUUGACAUUGCGAGUCCCUUUCUUCAAUGCCUCACAUGUUAUCUCAUGAUUCAACUCUUCCACCUAUAUGGCUUCUGUAUUGAAACGGGAAAUAAAACUCCUUAAAAACUUGCCCUCUUCCUGGCGGAUCUUUCACAGGUCUAAGGAAAGCUUUUUUGGAGGUAUGCAAGUGAUAAAUCUGGAUUUGAAUAUUGUAGCAAGCUGUGUAAAGUUUUGGAUUAAACCUAGACUUAGGUGUUGAUACCAUUUAUGAGCCAAACCCAUGAGUAUCGAUGAGAACACUCAGCAUAACACAAAAUGAUUUACAUCUUGAAGCUACAUGGUCGUCCUGAAAAUGGCUAGAUGAUUUUGGGGGUUUGUCGUUCUAUCAUACUUAUCCAAACUGGGCAACUUGAACUUAGAAAGAAAAUUUUCUACUGGUAUUUCUUUCAAAAGAGGCGAGACCCAAUCUAAACUACAAUCCUCUUUAUGUUCUCUUUGGUAUCUUUGUACCGCUCGUACUAGCUUCCAAUCCACUCCUUUCGGAGUCUCAUCCAAUUCAUCUUUAUAUUCGGACUUACCUUUAUGUCGCAAUUUGGGUGCUUCCAUUUGGGCGCUUGAGGUGUCUAUGGAAGCUUCAUCUCUUCUUUUAGGGUCCAUCUUAGACGCCUCUUCUUGAGCUUUAUACUACUCGAGAGUAUCCUGCAACCUUUGGAUAUAUUGGAGUAUGUGCUCGUUGUUCAAAUUAUUAAGGUCUGCUUUCUUGAUCACUGGAGGCGUGUUCUCCCGGUUAUUUGGGACAGAGAAAAUAAUGACUCCUUCGUUGGUAGCAAUCUUGUUAGCAACUGUAGGGCUUCCAGCCAUUUCGAGUGAAGAAAAAUAAUAGGGAAUCGGUUGUGAUCUAGAAGAGAGUUUAAUGGAUCAUCCCAGCAAUUGAACCACAAAUGAUGUUGUUAAAAUUAGAUGAAUGAUGUGGCCAGAAGAGGGUAUGCUGUGAUUGGCUAGAACUUGCAAGAAAGAAAGCGUGAGGCAGUGGUGGGUGCCCACGACAACUACUCCGACGCUCAAGUCAGUAUCUUGAAGGACAAAGAGAAUGUAAUGGACUACUUAAAGCUUGUGUAGUAUUAAAGAAAGCGUACCUUUGUCUCUACGAUAACUCUUCUUUAAUACUGCAAGAAGAUGGACAUAAACAUAGAAUCUCCUGUGAAUUCGGUUAUGAUGUGGCCAGCUACUCGAUAAUGCGCAUCACUAGCUAAUAAGUUGGUAAUCCCGCCGAUCUCAGGCGAGAUGGGAGUGUGUCUGACAAUGAAAACUCUAUGCUAAGGCUCAGCCUAUCUGGGGAGGGCGAGCCUUGUCAUCAAAUGGGAUAUUAAAGUGUCUAAGUCUCCCUUUCCUUAUGCAGGACUGUAUUUUCUAUUUGUCAGUUCUUUGCCACGUGACCCCUAUCUUGUAGUAACAACUCAUAACUUACUUUCAGAAAAUGUUAUGUCACAUCACUAAGUAAAUAAAUUCUAAGUUGUUUCCUUGUUAGUUUAUCUAAAGUGUGUGUGCUAUCUCCAUGAUGAAAUUUUAUUGUGUUUUUUCUCAUUCAAUAGACUUAUUAUGUAUUUUUGUUGGCAUUUUAUUUUGUUUCUAGAUAAGAGUUGUUCUACGAUAUAUAGAUGUUUUCUUUAGUAAAAAAAUAUAAAUUUAUAGAUUAUUUAAUAGAACUUGUGAAAUACCAUGGUGUUAAGGAAUGGAACAUGCACUUUGCCU
Molecule: long non-coding RNA, 3404 nt
Filed under: Manihot esculenta (cassava)
Lineage: Eukaryota; Viridiplantae; Streptophyta; Magnoliopsida; Malpighiales; Euphorbiaceae
Description: long non-coding RNA (MESC_LNC000171)
Source: RNAcentral